RNAcentral lists this long non-coding RNA (2013 nucleotides) under Olea europaea subsp. europaea. The record is from RNAcentral. Lineage: Eukaryota; Viridiplantae; Streptophyta; Magnoliopsida; Lamiales; Oleaceae.
AUCAGCCCUCACAUAUGGCGGAGGAAUACCAUGAAUACAAACUCCACAUUACAAAUUCACUUUAAAGACAAACUUUUAUUAAUGUCGUACAUAUGGAAAAUGAUUUCUAUUUGAUAUAAAUAACUUGGUAACGGCCCCAAGAAGAUCUGCCAUAUCAUGAAAUGUUGCCGUGCUUCCAUUUCCACCUAUUUUAGAUAAUGCGUCUGCAACUUGAUUUGCUUCCCGGAAAACAUGUCUGAACACCACUUCUCUUCCAAUCAUGAGAUCAUUUAUCUCCUCCCAUGCUUUCCAAAAUUUCCAUCUUGUACAUCGUUUAUUGAGGAACCAGUUCACAAUGACUUGAGAAUCACUUUCGAUUAUAAUCUUUGGGAAAUUUCGUUCUACACAUAUGUGGAUGCUUUCCAAAACAGCUUUUAGCUCCGCUCAUGUGUUAGUAUCGUGACCAUAGAAAGUGUGAAAAGCAUAGAUGAACUCUCCAUUAUCCGCCCUGAUCACUCCACCUCCACUACAAUUACCAGGAUUUCCUAUGCAGCAUCCAUCAAUGUUUAAUUUAACCCAGGUAGGGAGAGCAGGUAUCCAACGGACAAAUUUAGUGACUUUAUUUUGUGGUUUUCUGAAUUGGAUUCCCAAAUUUCGUAGUGCAAUACAAUCGAACGAAGAUAGUCUAGAUACCUUAGCCGCAUUGGCACAUAGUUCACCCAACCACCACUUCAUUGAAGCCCAAAUCUGAUCAUAAUUAAUGUCCACACCUUCCAUUUUUCUUCUGCACCUUGCUGUCCAAAUCGCCCAGAAAAUCAGAACAGGAGAAAAGCCAAUAAUCAUACCUACUUGGGACGUUUUUGAUCCCUUGGAGAACCAGAAAUUCAUUCUUUGUCUCCAGCCCAAAGAUGGAGUGUUAGCGAUGCCUGUCGUCGUCGAUAUCUGAUUCCAAAGAAAUUCUUCCAGGUCGCUGCCAUCCAACAAAUGGUUGAGAGACUCACAGUGAGGUGUACCACAACAUACACAUUUUCAUGCUAAGGUGAUCCCCACCAUUUGUAUUUUUUCAUCCACAACGAGUGCAUUUUGUAUAGCUUUCCAAGUAAUGAAAUAGAUUCUUUUUGGAAUUAGUGGAUGCCAUACCCAUUUAUCCCAAUCUACACUCUCCCGUUUGUCUCGAAUGAGAGGGUUUCCAAACAACUGUAUCCACUCCUUCACGUAACUUUGGAACAAAGUCUAUAGCAGCUUUAGCUAAAUCAUUCCCGAUUAAUUCUGAUAAGACAUCUUCAUUCUACCCCCUUGAGGUCACCACCGCAUUUGGCCUCAAAUCAGGUUCCACUAUCUCCACCAGGUAUGCUAAUGGUCCUAGACCAGACCAAUUUUCUUGCCAGAAAUUAACAUCUCCGCUUUUUAUGUGCCACACCGAAUUUUCAAUUACCGUAGGUAUCAAACUUGCUAUGCUCUUCCAAAAAGGUGAGUUUAAGGCUGAUAUCUGGAUCUCGUUGUAUGAAUUGUGCGGAAAAUAUUUUGCUUUUAGGAACUCUUAUAGUAGAGAAACAGAGAAACAAAAUUUCCAAGCAAAUCUUGCUUUUAGAGUCACUUGUACUUCUGCUAAGUCUCGAAUGCCUAAUCCUCCUUCUGAUAAUGGUUUGGUAAUUUUUCCAAAACUUACCCAAUGUCGCUUUACUUUACCAUCUGCCUCUCCCCAAAUAAAAUUUGAGAUUAAAGAAUGAAUUUGAUGAAUAACCCCUUGAGGUACGCAAAUAACCGAUAAGAUAUGUAUAGGCAUACUUAAAAGAACAUGCUUUACAAGAGUUAAUCUUCCUCCAACUGAUAAGAGUAAAGAUUUCCAGCCAGAUAUUUUCUUUCUCACCUUCAUAAUCAGCGGCUCGAAAUGUCUGAUACAUAAACGACCUGGGGCUAUUGGAGCCCCCAAAUAUCUGAUUGGAAAAGACCCUUGUGUGAAGUUACUCAAACGGAGUGAUUCAUUUUUCCUCUGCAAGGACAUGUGCUUUGAGAAAAAUAUUGCUGAUUUCC